Molecule: ribosomal RNA, 404 nt
Filed under: Actinomycetes bacterium
Lineage: Bacteria; Bacillati; Actinomycetota; Actinomycetes
Description: Actinobacteria bacterium partial 16S ribosomal RNA
Rfam family: Bacterial small subunit ribosomal RNA
Source: RNAcentral
UGGGGAAUAUUUGACAAUGGGCGCAAGCCUGAUCCCGCCAUGCCGCGUGAGUGAUGAAGGCCCUAGGGUUUUAAAUCUCUUUCACCGGUGAAGAUAAUGACGGUAACCGGAGAAGAAGCCCCGGCUAACUUCGUGCCAGCAGCCGCGGUAAUACUCAGGGGGCUAGCGUUGUUCGGAUUUACUGGGCGUAAAGCGCACGUAGGCGGACUUUUAAGUCAGGGGUGAAAUCCCGGGGCUCAACCCCGGAACUGCCUUUGAUAAUGGAAGUCUUGAGUAUGGUAGAGGUGAGUGGAAUUCCGAGUGUAGAGGUGAAAUUCGUAGAUAUUCGGAGGAAAACCAGUGGAGAAGGCGGCUCACUGGACCAUUACUGACGCUGAGGUGCGAAAGAGUGGGGAGCAAACAGG